AGGAAGUGCAAAUGGGUUGAAUUAGAAGCAAUGACGAAAACUUAAAUAUUUCAUUAUCGUUAAAGAUACAAAAUAAAGUCUGAUCUAAGAAAGUAGUUUUGUAAAAAUGGCAGAUAUGAAACAUGAUAUUUCAUCUUUAGCAACUUUCUACAGGAAGAAAAUAUUUAUGGCCUUAUCGUUUGUUUUAAUAAGGAAAGCUAGGGAAGCUGGAGUACCAGUAAUCACUUACGUAAAAAACCUACAGUACAGAUAUCUUAAGGAAAAUCAAGAUUGCAUUAAUCCUAUCUUGGAACAGAAGUUUUUGAGCCACAACCAACAAGAAUUAAAAGACAAGUUAAAAGAACUGCAAGGAACUCUAUCUCUAUCUGGCGAGAACAAUGUAGGGCUGCAAGAAGAUUUCACAACGAGAGAGGAUGGAUUUCUCAAGGAAAGUAAUGAUUGGACUUCAGCAUCAGAACAAAGGCCAAUAAAUGAAAUUCCACCUAGCCUGUACCCUCAAAGAGUUUUCAGUUAUGAACAUUUUGCACUAAAAUAUUUACGGUUUAUUGAAUCAAUAUUAAUGAUAAAGGACGAAAUUGAACUUAAGGCUCCAAUCCAAACCUCAUAUUUACAAACUGUGUUGUAUGAUGAAGCUGAAUAUGCGAGUUACAAGAAUAGUGUAGUCAAUUGUGAUGCUAAAACAAUGUCUGAUGAUUCUGGAUUUGAAUGCAGUGAAUAUUCAAAAGACAAUACACAAAAAACUAUCAACUAUGUGUCUGGUGAUGUCAUCAAGGUCACUCUACAGUCAUCAAAUACCAACCAUUUGGUAGCAAACUCUUUAAAAUUUGUUCUAAAUUAUGUAAAACAAGAAAUAAAACUGAAUACCGUGAUGAUCUUCCACAAUUGGAAGAAUUCCCUGACUGAAUAUGCUUGUGAAAUUCUCAAAGAAUGCUCACGCUACAGCAGCUUUUGUCGAGAGCUGCAUCUGAACUUGGUGUUUGAAUUGCUGGAGGAUCUGUGGAAUGACAGAAGACUGGCUGAGUUUCAGCAUACUACAAGAAGAAGAAGAAGAAGGACAACAUGCAAAUGAUUUUCUUGAGGAAAAUCACACAAAUAAAAACCAGAACUCUAUGCUGAUAGUCAAGGAAGAGAUAUUCCAGGGAUGUCGGACAGUGCAGCAAGGGGAAAAUGUAUAUGGGUGGUUUAGUUAAACCAAGCACUAAUAUCCAGUAUGUGUAUGAUCAAGCAUCAAAAUCACUAGAUAAACCAAUUGUCUUAAUAGCUGGGACCAAUGACAUAUCAAGGAAAUCAUGUACAAAAUGUCAUGUACAAAAAUAUGGAAAGCAAACUAGAAGAGCUUAGUAAAUAAAGAGCUGUGUGGAUCACAACCAUCUCUCCUCGUUUUGUUAAAGAGUAGAAUGAUACAAUACAUUAUGAUUUAGUCUUGGCAAACAGGCAAAUUAAAGACUGUAUCAAAACUGGAAAAUGUUGAGCUCAUUGAUCUUGAUACGUUUAAAAGAAACCAAGUCUUACACCAAGACAUGUACCCUAAUUACAGUGAAUCUUCAGUGGGAGUUAGCAGUCCAUAUCAUUAACGAACUUCUCACAUGCUUUGAAGUGUGUAGUGAAGUUAUGCAAUAUAUGCAUGAUAAGUUUAACCACUUUAUCAAGUGUGUGAUGAAAGAGGUGGACAUUUCAC
Molecule: unclassified non-coding RNA, 1678 nt
Filed under: Homalodisca vitripennis (glassy-winged sharpshooter)
Lineage: Eukaryota; Metazoa; Arthropoda; Insecta; Hemiptera; Cicadellidae
Description: uncharacterized LOC124359771, transcript variant X2
Source: RNAcentral